UACGUAGGGGGCAAGCGUUGUUCGGAUUUACUGGGCGUAAAGGGCGCGUAGGCGGCGCGUAAAGUCGUACAUGAAAUCAUUGGGCUUAACCCGAUGGCUGUGCCCGAUACUUGCGUACUUAGAGUGCGGGAGAUGCAAUCGGAAUUCUCGGUGUAGCGGUGAAAUGCGUAGAUAUCGAGAGGAACUCCGGUGACGAAGGUGGGUUGCUGGACCGACACUGACGCUGACGCGCGAAAGCUCGGGGAGCAAACGGG
This 254-nucleotide ribosomal RNA is filed under the name uncultured bacterium. RNAcentral's name for it is "partial 16S ribosomal RNA". It matches the Rfam family "Bacterial small subunit ribosomal RNA", at positions 524 to 776 of the family's 1533-position model. The record is from RNAcentral.